Long non-coding RNA from Scomber japonicus (chub mackerel), 249 nucleotides. RefSeq lists it as uncharacterized. The transcript has 2 exons. Lineage: Eukaryota; Metazoa; Chordata; Actinopteri; Scombriformes; Scombridae. The record is from RefSeq and is a predicted model, not a curated record.
GGAGGAAGGAAAGAAGGAAGGAAGGAAGGUAGGAGGGAAGGAAGAAGCCAUCAGUAUAAACUAAUGAUAAUAUUACUGAUGAUCUCUGCUGGUGAAUCAGACAUCACCGACUGUGUCUCUCAGCUCGCCUGUUAUUCACACUGUGCAUCUGAAAAUAACCCAGAACAGAGAGAGUCUAUUAACCACACACACACACACACACACACACACACACACACACACACACACACACACACACACACACACACA